RNAcentral lists this ribosomal RNA (1017 nucleotides) under uncultured organism. RNAcentral describes it as "bacterial SSU rRNA". It matches the Rfam family "Bacterial small subunit ribosomal RNA", at positions 355 to 1375 of the family's 1533-position model. The record is from RNAcentral.
UGAGGAAUAUUGGUCAAUGGACGAGAGUCUGAACCAGCCAAGUAGCGUGAAGGAUGACUGCCCUAUGGGUUGUAAACUUCUUUUAUACGGGAAUAAAGUUAGCCACGUGUGGCUUUUUGUAUGUACCGUAUGAAUAAGGAUCGGCUAACUCCGUGCCAGCAGCCGCGGUAAUACGGAGGAUCCGAGCGUUAUCCGGAUUUAUUGGGUUUAAAGGGAGCGUAGGCGGGCUGUUAAGUCAGUUGUGAAAGUUUGCGGCUCAACCGUAAAAUUGCAGUUGAUACUGGCGACCUUGAGUGCAACAGAGGUAGGCGGAAUUCGUGGUGUAGCGGUGAAAUGCUUAGAUAUCACGAAGAACUCCGAUUGCGAAGGCAGCUUACUGGAUUGUAACUGACGCUGAUGCUCGAAAGUGUGGGUAUCAAACAGGAUUAGAUACCCUGGUAGUCCACACAGUAAACGAUGAAUACUCGCUGUUGGCGAUAUACGGUCAGCGGCCAAGCGAAAGCAUUAAGUAUUCCACCUGGGGAGUACGCCGGCAACGGUGAAACUCAAAGGAAUUGACGGGGGCCCGCACAAGCGGAGGAACAUGUGGUUUAAUUCGAUGAUACGCGAGGAACCUUACCCGGGCUUAAAUUGCAACUGACUGAACCGGAAACGGUUCUUUCUUCGGACAGUUGUGAAGGUGCUGCAUGGUUGUCGUCAGCUCGUGCCGUGAGGUGUCGGCUUAAGUGCCAUAACGAGCGCAACCCUUAUCGAUAGUUACUAGCAGGUCAUGCUGAGGACUCUAUUGAGACUGCCGUCGUAAGAUGUGAGGAAGGUGGGGAUGACGUCAAAUCAGCACGGCCCUUACGUCCGGGGCUACACACGUGUUACAAUGGGGGGUACAGAAGGCAGCUACACGGCGACGUGGUGCUAAUCCCGAAAGCCUCUCUCAGUUCGGAUUGGAGUCUGCAACCCGACUCCAUGAAGCUGGAUUCGCUAGUAAUCGCGCAUCAGCCACGGCGCGGUGAAUACGUUCCC